This 57-nucleotide transfer RNA is filed under the name Hemidactylus turcicus (Mediterranean house gecko). Its description in RNAcentral is "partial tRNA-Cys". Lineage: Eukaryota; Metazoa; Chordata; Lepidosauria; Squamata; Gekkonidae. The record is from RNAcentral.
AKUGAGAUCACGCCAAAGUGCAAAUUUGGAGACGCACCCAGGAGGGUGCCGGGGCUU